Molecule: small nuclear RNA, 107 nt
Organism: Equus asinus (donkey)
Lineage: Eukaryota; Metazoa; Chordata; Mammalia; Perissodactyla; Equidae
Source: Ensembl
GUGCUCACUUGGGCAGCACAUAUACUAAAAUUGGAACAAUACAGAGAAGAUUAGCAUGGUCCUUGAGCAAGGACGACACACAAAUUAGUGAAGUGCUCCAUAGUUUU